This 83-nucleotide small nucleolar RNA is filed under the name Colletotrichum incanum. Lineage: Eukaryota; Fungi; Ascomycota; Sordariomycetes; Glomerellales; Glomerellaceae. The record is from RNAcentral.
CGACUAUGAUGAACAAACCAUUCAUUCAGUUCUGCUACUGAACACUGUGAUGAUACCCAUUUACCAAAAACCUUGUCUGAUAU